GACGAACGCUGGCGGCGUGCUUAACACAUGCAAGUCGAACGGAAAGGCCCUGCUUUUGUGGGGUGCUCGAGUGGCGAACGGGUGAGUAACACGUGAGUAACCUGCCCUUGACUUUGGGAUAACUUCAGGAAACUGGGGCUAAUACCGGAUAGGAGCUCCUGCUGCAUGGUGGGGGUUGGAAAGUUUCGGCGGUGGGGGAUGGACUCGCGGCUUAUCCGCUUGUUGGUGGGGUAGGUGCUUACCAAGGCUUUGACGGGUAGCCGGCCUGAGAGGGUGACCGGCCACAUUGGUACUGAGAUACGGCCCAGACUGCUACGGGAGGCAGCAGUGGGGAAUAUUGCACAAUGGGCGGAAGCCUGAUGCAGCAACGCCGCGUGCGGGAUGACGGCCUUCGGGUUGUAAACCGCUUUCGCCUGUGACGAAGCGUGAGUGACGGUAAUGGGUAAAGAAGCACCGGCUAACUACGUG
RNAcentral lists this ribosomal RNA (468 nucleotides) under uncultured bacterium. RNAcentral describes it as "partial 16S ribosomal RNA". It matches the Rfam family "Bacterial small subunit ribosomal RNA", at positions 28 to 507 of the family's 1533-position model. The record is from RNAcentral.